RNAcentral lists this transfer RNA (72 nucleotides) under Toxocara canis (dog roundworm). It matches the Rfam family "tRNA". Rfam says of the family: Transfer RNA (tRNA) molecules are approximately 80 nucleotides in length. Lineage: Eukaryota; Metazoa; Nematoda; Chromadorea; Rhabditida; Toxocaridae. The record is from Rfam by way of RNAcentral.
AGGGUAGUAGCUCAGUGGUAGAGCUCCCGCUUCGUCUAGGGGAAGACCUGGGUUCGAUCCCCGGCUGCCUCC